RNAcentral lists this ribosomal RNA (468 nucleotides) under uncultured bacterium. RNAcentral's name for it is "partial 16S ribosomal RNA". It matches the Rfam family "Bacterial small subunit ribosomal RNA", at positions 28 to 507 of the family's 1533-position model. The record is from RNAcentral.
GACGAACGCUGGCGGCGUGCUUAACACAUGCAAGUCGAACGGAAAGGCCCUGCUUUUGUGGGGUGCUCGAGUGGCGAACGGGUGAGUAACACGUGAGUAACCUGCCCUUGACUUUGGGAUAACUUCAGGAAACUGGGGCUAAUACCGGAUAGGAGCUCCUGCUGCAUGGUGGGGGUUGGAAAGUUUCGGCGGUUGGGGAUGGACUCGCGGCUUAUCCGCUUGUUGGUGGGGUAGUGGCUUACCAAGGCUUUGACGGGUAGCCGGCCUGAGAGGGUGACCGGCCACAUUGGGACUGAGAGACGGCGCAGACUCCUACGGGAGGCAGCAGUGGAGAAUAUUGCACAAUGGGCGGAAGCCUGAUGCAGCAACGCCGCGUGCGGGAUGACGGCCUUCGGGUUGUAAACCGCUGUCGCCGGUGACGAAGCGUGAGUGACGGUAAUGGGUAAAGAAGCACCGGCUAACUACGUG